This 492-nucleotide ribosomal RNA is filed under the name uncultured bacterium. RNAcentral describes it as "partial 16S ribosomal RNA". It matches the Rfam family "Bacterial small subunit ribosomal RNA", at positions 29 to 507 of the family's 1533-position model. The record is from RNAcentral.
AGUGAACUCUGGCGGUAGGCCUAACACAUGCAAGUCGAACGGCAGCACAGUAAGAGCUUGCUCUUACGGGUGGCGAGUGGCGGACGGGUGAGGAAUACAUCGGAAUCUACUCUUUCGUGGGGGAUAACGUAGGGAAACUUACGCUAAUACCGCAUACGACCUACGGGUGAAAGCAGGUGAUCUUCGGACCUUGCGCGAUUGAAUGAGCCGAUGUCGGAUUAGCUAGUUGGCGGGGUAAAGGCCCACCAAGGCGACGAUCCGUAGCUGGUCUGAGAGGAUGAUCAGCCACACUGGAACUGAGACACGGUCCAAACUCAUAGAGGAGGAAGCAGAGGGGAAUAUUGGACGAUGGGCGCAAGCCUGAUCCAGCCAUACCGCGUGGGUGAAGCAGGCCUUCGGGUUGUAAAGCCCUUUUGUUGGGAAAGAAAAGCAGCAGGUUAAUACCCCGCUGUUCUGACGGUACCCAAAGAAUAAGCACCGGCUAACUUCGUG